Molecule: ribosomal RNA, 495 nt
Filed under: Pichia kudriavzevii
Lineage: Eukaryota; Fungi; Ascomycota; Pichiomycetes; Pichiales; Pichiaceae
Description: eukaryotic LSU rRNA
Rfam family: Eukaryotic large subunit ribosomal RNA
Source: RNAcentral
GAAUAUCAAUAAGCGGAGGAAAAGAAACCAACAGGGAUUGCCUCAGUAGCGGCGAGUGAAGCGGCAAGAGCUCAGAUUUGAAAUCGUGCUUUGCGGCACGAGUUGUAGAUUGCAGGUUGGAGUCUGUGUGGAAGGCGGUGUCCAAGUCCCUUGGAACAGGGCGCCCAGGAGGGUGAGAGCCCCGUGGGAUGCCGGCGGAAGCAGUGAGGCCCUUCUGACGAGUCGAGUUGUUUGGGAAUGCAGCUCCAAGCGGGUGGUAAAUUCCAUCUAAGGCUAAAUACUGGCGAGAGACCGAUAGCGAACAAGUACUGUGAAGGAAAGAUGAAAAGCACUUUGAAAAGAGAGUGAAACAGCACGUGAAAUUGUUGAAAGGGAAGGGUAUUGCGCCCGAUAUGGGGAUUGCGCACCGCUGCCUCUCGUGGGCGGCGCUCUGGGCUUUCCCUGGGCCAGCAUCGGUUCUUGCUGCAGGAGAAGGGGUUCUGGAACGUGGCUCUU